UUGAGAAGCAGCGUGAUUUCUUUAGACAUUGAAACAAAUCUCAAGUGAGUUAAUUACGGUUUGCUCUGAGUUUAGGUCCAGCCAGAGGAGUUUUCAUGGCAUUUAGAUAAUUUAUCAAUUGGGCUACGUAACAGAUAAAAGGUUACGUUUUCCUUUCCAACAUUUGGGAGGUGCAUUUGUACCGUAAAUGCGACGAUUUUAAAAGAUCGGUCUAGACUUAGAUGAAUGAAAAUGAGGCUCGUUAACUGUAAUGUCUGGAGUCCGAGGUGGGGCGCAAAGCAAGCCUUGCUAUCCGUGGGCCGCCGUAGUCAAACGAAGCUGCUAAUUCGAAUGUUUCAAGUUUCGAAUUGAGAAAUAUUGUUCCAAUGGGGCAACAAUGGGGCUGUUGUCCCGGGCCCCUUACAGCUUGUUUUAUGCAAAACGAAUGGCAGGUAAUUGUGAUUUAAUUCUUUUCAAGGAAAUUACAGUGAGUGCGUGACACAAAGCCGCGGCGGACCCUCCUUUCUCUGUCAGUAGUUGAAUUAAUGGUGGCAGGAGUAAAAACAGCGAUUGUGCACAACAGCCCUCCCCGGUCCCCACCCCUGCCAAGGGGGGACCUGCCAAUCAGGCCGCGCCACCACGAGGCCGGCAAUCGUCGGGAUGCGGAGGUUCGCGGAUGGACCCUCCUGGUGUCUCGGCCCGGGGGUCACGGAGCCCGGGGCCGCCCCCUCCCCCUCCCCCCCGGGGCCGCCCCCCCGGGGCCGAGGUGCCCGCAGGGGUCCGCGUCUGCGCGCUACGGGCCGGGGCGCCCCCCGCUGGGGCGCCCUGGGCUCCGUGCCCCCCGGGCUGGCCUGUAGAGCUGGAUUUGCGCGGCAGAGUUGACGGCAGAAAGGGCUCCCUGGUAACCUGCCGGUGCUGGCCGCGCCGAGAGGCGCCCCGAGGGCUCCCGGAGGAGGCGGCGUGGCCGAGGGAGGAGUGCGGGGAGGCCGAUCUUUGAGCCCCGUCUGGGCGCGGCGCUGGAUGGCUGGGGUCUGCGCGCGUCCCUGCGGUCGGAGGGGCCCGAGACCAGAGCCGCCGCGCGCGCACAGCGCCAGGUCCCGGCACCUUGGCCAGUGUCUGCUAUGUAGCAGGAGUACUCUGUAAAAACUGUCGAUGGGUGAACGGAGUCACAUCUCCCGGCCCGCGCAUCAAAGUAGUUGAACCACCUCGUGUCUAAGUGCCUACUUCUGUCGUUCAAUGAGAGGAAUGGUCAGCAUAUUAGUUAGAUUUUUUUUUACAUCAAAAAAAAAAAAGACAGUAAUUUUCUGAACGAG
Molecule: long non-coding RNA, 1292 nt
Organism: Leopardus geoffroyi (Geoffroy's cat)
Lineage: Eukaryota; Metazoa; Chordata; Mammalia; Carnivora; Felidae
Exons: 2
Source: RefSeq, a predicted model, not a curated record